Molecule: ribosomal RNA, 497 nt
Filed under: uncultured bacterium
Lineage: Bacteria
Description: partial 16S ribosomal RNA
Rfam family: Bacterial small subunit ribosomal RNA
Source: RNAcentral
GAUGAACGCUGGCGGCGUGCCUAAUACAUGCAAGUCGAGCGAACAGACGAGGAGCUUGCUCCUCUGACGUUAGCGGCGGACGGGUGAGUAACACGUGGAUAACCUACCUAUAAGACUGGGGUAACUUCGGGAAACCGGAGCUAAUACCGGAUAACAUGUUGAACCGCAUGGUUUAACAGUGAAAGACGGUCUUGCUGUCACUUAUAGAUGGAUCCGCGCCGCAUUAGCUAGUUGGUAAGGUAACGGCUUACCAAGGCAACGAUGCGUAGCCGACCUGAGAGGGUGAUCGGCCACACUGGAACUGAGACACGGUCCAGACUCCUACGGGAGGCAGCAGUAGGGAAUCUUCCGCAAUGGGCGAAAGCCUGACGGAGCAACGCCGCGUGAGUGAAGAAGGUCUUCGGAUCGUAAAACUCUGUUAUUAGGGAAGAACAAAUGUGUAAGUAACUAUGCACGUCUUGACGGUACCUAAUCAGAAAGCCACGGCUAACUACGUG